RNAcentral lists this ribosomal RNA (433 nucleotides) under uncultured bacterium. Its description in RNAcentral is "partial 16S ribosomal RNA". It matches the Rfam family "Bacterial small subunit ribosomal RNA", at positions 29 to 507 of the family's 1533-position model. The record is from RNAcentral.
AGCGAACGCUGGCGGCAGGCCUAACACAUGCAAGUCGAACGAACUCUUCGGAGUUAGUGGCGGUCGGGUGAGUAACACGUGGGAACGUGCCGUUAGGUUCGGAAUAAUACAGGGUAACUGGUGCUAAUACCGGAUGUGCCCCUCGGGUAAAAGAUUCGUCGUCUUUAGGGCGGCCCGCGUCUUAUUAGCUUGUUGGUGAGGUAAAGGCCCACCAAGGCGACGAUCAGUAGCUGGUCUGAGAGGAUGAUCAGCCACAUUGGGACGGAGACACGGCCGAAACUCAUACGCGAGGCAGCAGUGGGGAAUCUUGCGAAAUGGGCGAAAGCCUGACGCAGCCAUGCCGCGUGAAUGAUGAAGGUCUUAGGAUUGUAAAAUUCUUUCACCGGGGACGAUAAUGACGGUACCCGGAGAAGAAGCCCCGGCUAACUUCGUG